UGCCAGCCGCCGCGGUAACACGGGGGGCGCAAGCGUUGUUCGGAAUUACUGGGCGUAAAGCGCGCGUAGGUGGUUAUAUAAGUCAGAUGUGAAAGUCCACGGCUCAACCGUGGAAGUGCAUUUGAAACUGUAUAACUUGAGUACUGGAGGGGGUAGUGGAAUUCCCGGUGUAGAGGUGAAAUUCGUAGAUAUCGGGAGGAAUACCGGUGGCGAAGGCGACCACCUGGCCAGAUACUGGCGCUGAGGUGCGAAAGCGUGGGGAGCAAACAGGAUUAGAUA
RNAcentral lists this ribosomal RNA (279 nucleotides) under uncultured bacterium. RNAcentral describes it as "partial 16S ribosomal RNA". It matches the Rfam family "Bacterial small subunit ribosomal RNA", at positions 506 to 784 of the family's 1533-position model. The record is from RNAcentral.